UCUUGAGCUCCUUUAAACCUUUAACCAAGGGCUUCUUGAGCUCCUUUAAACCUUGAGCUUCACUGAGCUCUUUUUAACCUUUAACAAAGGGCUUCUUGAGCUCCUUUAAACCUUGAGCUUCACUGAGCUCUUUUUAACCUUUAACAAAGGGCUUUUUGAGCUCCUUUAAAUCUUGAGCUUCACUGAGCUCUUUUUAACCUUUAACAAAGGGCUUCUUGAGCUCCUUUAAACCUUGAGCUUCACUGAGCUCUUUUUAACCUUUAACAAAGGGCCUUUUGAGCUCCUUUUAACCUUUAACAAUGGGCUUUUUGAGCUCCUUUAAACCUUGAGCUUCACUGAGCUCUUUUUAACCUUUAACAAAGGGCUUCCCGAGCUCCUUUAAACCUUUAACAAAGGGCUUCUCGAGCUCCUUUAAACCUUUAACAAAGGGCUUCUUGAGCUCCUGUUCCCUUGAGUUUCUUGAGCUUCUGUUCCCUUGAGCUUCUUGAGCUUCUGCUUCUUGAGCUUGAGCUUUUUGAGCUUCUUGAGCUUCUGUUCCCUUGAGCUUCCUGAGCUUCUGCUUCUUGAGCCCGAGCUUCUUGAGCUUCUGUUCCUUUGAGCUCCGCAGAUUCUCACUCUCCCUCUGCUACUCGGCAGGCUCUCCUACUUCCUCUGCUACUCGGCAGGCUCCACUACUUCCUCUGCUACUCGGCAGGCUCUAAUACUUCCUCUGCUACUCGGCAGGCUCUCCUACUUCCUCUGCUACUCGGCAGGCUCCACUACUUCCUCUGCUACUCGGCAGGCUCUAAUACUUCCUCUGCUACUCGGCAGGCUAAUACUUCCUCUGCACCUCGGCAGGCUAAUACUUCCUCUGCUACUCGGCAGGCUAAUACUUCCUCUGCACUUCGGCAGGCUAAUACUUCACUGAGCUCUUUUUCCUGAGCACGAGUUCCUUGAUUCCCAGGCUCUGCAGGCUUUUUCUCAACUUGACCAGCCGAUGCAGCCCACCCGGGGACGCCAUUAAAUGUUAAGGUACGCGAGGUCAGAUUGAAGAAACCUCCUCUUAACAAGUAAAACUUUGACCUAAAGUUUUGAUGUAGUUUGGGCUGCCUCAGGUGAUCAAGCAAGAAAAGAAAAUAACGAAGACAAAAACCAGCGGCUACACACGCAGAAGCUCUCGCUCUACUAUGAAACUCUUUAUUUCCACAACACGGCUUAGUUAUAUACAUUCAAAGGAAUUUACAUAAUAAUAAUUUAUACAUUCAAUAGAAAAUCUACAUUUCCAGUCAUACAUUCAAAAAGAUAUUUACAUACUAUGUCACGACUUUUAACAUAUAUAUAGUGGUGCAUCCUCUGUAGCUCUAUUACACUCUUUGGGUAAAAAAGGGAUAAGGAUUGAAAUUGCUUGAGAAGAGUGACCGUGAUUGACCAAGCCUAGCCAGCAGCCUGUAAUCUAAGGUUUUCAGAUCCCAGUCAAACAUUCGUAGAUGUUUUUCUGAAAAAUAAUUUAAAAAAAACUAAUAUUAAUAUAAAUCAUAAUAAUCUGCAACUGUCCUUGAAUAUUCUAAUUCUAGAGAUUUUACCUUUCAAAUAUAUACAAAUAUAUACUUUUAUAGAAAGAAUUAUGAAAAUAAGAUACCACUCAAACAACAACAAAAAAAGAGACUAAAAUAGCAUUAAAAAAAAUUAUUCAUGACAACACAGAAGAAUACACAAAAUUUGAAGUCUUAUUUUCUGGAGCCAAAACAUAAAUAUUUCUUCCUGAGCCAACUCUAGAGCAGUCAACAUACAAUUGCCCAUGCGAGAAACAGGGUUGCUCCAAGUCAAUGCCAGCAAUUUUGAGGGACUGACCUUGAGCCUUGUUAAUCGACAUGGCAAAAGAAACUAGAAUGGGGAAUUGCAAUCUUUUAAAAUGCAAAGGAGAAUGUUUAUCAUCAUGAAUCAGAGGAAUCCGGCGAAUAAAAACCUCUUCAAAUAUAUACGUAUAUAGAAAGAAUUAUGAAAAUAAUAUACCACUCAAACAACAAAAAAAAGACUGAAAUAGCAUAAAAAAAAUUAUUAAUGACAACACAGAAGAAUACACAAAAUUUGAAGUCUUAUUUUCUGGAGCCAAAACUUAAAGAUUUCUUCCUGAGCCAACUCUAGAGCAGGCGACAUACAAUUGCCCAUGCGAGAAACAGGGUUGCCCCAAGUCAAUGCCAGCAAUUUUGAGGGAGUGACCUUGAGCCUUGUUAAUCGACAUGGCAAAAGAAACUUGAAUGGGGAACUGCAAUCUUUUAAAAUGCAAAGGAGAAUGUUUAUUAUCAUGAAUCAGAGGAAUCCGGGGAAUAAAAACCUCUUCAUUUUGAAAACAACCAGUUAAAAUGGUUGCCUCUACCACAUGAGGCCACAAUCUUUUAACACAGAGACGGGUACCAUUGCAAAGGCGGGGUGCAUCAAUAUUUUGUCAUUAAAUAUAUACGUAUAUAGAAAGAAUUAUGAAAAUAAUAUACCACUCAAACAACAAAAAAAAAAAGACUAAAAUAGCAUUAAAAAAAAUUUAUUCAUGACAACACAGAAGAAUACACAAAAUUUGAAGUCUUAUUUUCUGGAGCCAAAACAUAAAGAUUUCUUCCUGAGCCAACUCUAGAGCAGGCAACAUACAAUUGCCCAUGCGAGAAACAGGGUUGCUCCAAGUCAAUGCCAGCAAUUUUGAGGGACUGACCUUGAGCCUUGUUAAUCGACAUGGCAAAAGAAACUCGAAUGGGGAACUGCAAUCUUUUAAAAUGCAAAGGAGAAUGUUUAUCAUCAUGAAUCAGAGGAAUCCGGGGAAUAAAAACCUCUUCAUUUUGAAAACAACCAGUUAAAAUGGUUGCCUCUACCACAUGAGGCCACAAUCUUUUAACACAGAGACGGGUACCAUUGCAAAGGCGGGGUGCAUCAAUAUUUCUCAAUAAAAUAAUGGGAACACCAACUCUUAAGUUCUAAGUGAUGUGGUGGCAUCCCAGAAGGUUCUAAAGAAUUUAAAAACUCUGUUGUAUAUUCCACGCAAUCCUCAGCAUCAAUGGUGGAAUCCACAGAAGUAUAUAAAAUGCUUUGCCCUGGUUUUUCUUUCAAAAGCUGAGCAUUUAUGUCAUCAACUACACAAUUCCUUGGAGCCAAAAUUGCCCGCUCACAAAGCCAAGGAUAGUAAUUCGCCCUUCCCCGGUUAAACAUCUCCCCAAUGUUAGGAAAAACACUAUUCUUUAGGCCAGAGAGGGAGUCAACAGUGUUAACCAAUUCAUUUAAAAAAUUAACAUUACCAUCCGUAUCAUUAAGUUGGCCACUUCCUAGUUGAAGCAAAAAUUGUGAAAAUAACAGUGAGUUGGGAUCUCCUGAAUUGACAGCCCGCAUAUUUGUUGAAAGAGUAAGUCUUUCAACAAAUGACCAAAGUGGGGAUGCCUUUAAGCAAGCAUGCAACUCAUCUGCUAUUGUACCUCUAGGGAUAAUGGGCAAUAUCUGCCUGAAGUCACCGGCCAACAACAACACUACACCUCCCAUUGGUCUCUGAUCCUGCCUACAAUCUUUAAGUGUUUGUCAACUGCCUCUAAAGCAUGCCUGUGUGCCAUAGUACAUUCAUCCCAGACAAUAAAUUUGCAUUGUCUAAGAACUUCACCCAUUGCGGAAUCAGCAUUCAAAUUACAAACUGGUACCUCAUCCCUGGUCAAAUCUAAGGGUAAUUUGAAAGUGGAAUGAGCAGUUCUGCCACCAUGCAACAGAGUGGCCGCAAUACCAGAAGAAGCUGUAGAAAGAGCAAUGUCCCCAGUACUUCGUACCUUUGUAAGAAGAAGAUUGAUCAGAAAAGUUUUUCCUGUGCCCCCGGAGCAUCAAGAAAGUACAAUCCGCCAGCAUUGGAAUCAAUUUUAGAAAGGAUCCUAUCGUAAGCCUCCUUUUAUUCAGGGACAUUGACAAGUUUCGGUUCAUUCGAAGCCACAAAUUGUAGUAACCUGCUGAGAUCAUACGAUGUUUCUCUUAAAAGUUCAUGACUGGCUCGGUGAGUAACAUUGCGCUGUGGGGACCUCAUGCCAAACUUUGUCAAAUGGAAACCAGUCAUUUGCAGAACCUUUCGUUCUAAAAGUAUUAAAGCCUGAUUUGACAUUUCGGAUGUCAGCUGUAAAAGACCGUCAUUGGCUUGCUGUCUGGCAAGAUUCAGAAUAUCUGCAGACAUUGGUUCUUUAAAUUGUGCCCAGAUAUCUUGAGGGUUGGUAGGGUGGCAGCAGGUAAGAAUAAUAGCAAAAUGUUCCCGGAUUUUUAAAGGAGACUCACUUAGCACUGCUUCCUGAAUACAAUGAUGCCAUUGCUGGUCAUUCUCAAGCAACCCCAAAUGCAGACAUGCCUCUUUAUAUGUUUGACAGAGCACACCAUUGAUUGUUCUGAGGGCUGCAAAAGAAGUCGGACCACGAACACUAUGAAGCAGCAUGCGAAGAUAAAAACAUUCCUCAAAAUUUGGAUGAACGGUGUAGACUCUGCCAAUAGCAUCAGAAGCAAAAGCAACUUGGUCAGCAAUGCGAGUGCCUUGUUUUCGAGGCUGCCAUGAUUUAGAAGCAGACCAAAUGUAGUAAACAGGAACUUCAACAUAGAGAAGUGUUUUUGCAAAGUUAUCGCGCUGGCAAAGGGCAAAAAAUGCUGUCAACGUGGUCUUAGGUGGACGGUGAGCCUGUACUGCAGCAUUAGCAGAAGUAAAACAUACACGCUACCCAUUUUCUAAGUGUACAGAGAGAUGUUGAACCAUUGGAUGGCGUCUGUGAAUAGGGAAUCCCAGAAUGCGCCAAACAGCUUCAUUGCUACUAAUAUAUCGACCAUGUUGGUACUCUAGCACUUCAUUAGACUCUGUUUGAGCACCAGUAACUGCAAAAGUUGAUUGGUCUGAACCCUUGUAUAUGUAUUUGCAGAUAUAUUUUAUAGCAGAGAUUGAAGCACAGGACUCCACAUUGAUGUGAGCAUCAAAUAGUCUGCAUAGAAGAGGCGAAUAUGGCACAACAUACCUAUUAUCAAUGGUAACAUUAGUCAUGCGCACAACCUGAACACCAUUCUCAAUGGUGAAAACUCUCACUCUUUUAACAAAAGAAAAGCCACCUUCCUCAGGCCUGCGACGUCUGUACAAUGGGUAGCCAUCCCUAUCUGUCUGCGUUUCAGCCAAGAGUAGCCGUGGAUAUUUCUUUUGGCAUCUACCCCGUUCCAUGCAGCCAGGAUUAGGAUACCCAUGUCCACAUGGCCCAUGAAUCAUAUUUUUGGUUACAGUCCGAAACAGUGAAGCAUCAACCUCCGCAUUGGGGAUUUCAGCACAAAUGAUCGAAUCAAUCUGGUUUGGGCGAAUCUUUUUUUUAAGCCACAAUAAAAUAUGAGCAUGUGGUAGCCCUCGCUUUUGCAUUCAAUGGUAUAACACCAACAUGGGGCUUGCCAAAAACAUCACCCUUGGUGAUCAAAUCUAUAAGCUUGGUAACUUUCAAUUGAAAAAUGCGAGCAACCAAGUCAUGCCGAACAAAUGCACCUUGGGUGGGGAACUGCAUUAGUUUUAUCUCAGGCCACUCGGGAUUGCAUGUAAAUGUAAUAAAAAGGUCUGGGUGACCAUAUUUACGGACGUAAGCCAUGCAAUCCUGGGCAUACUCAUGCAUGUGCCUUGGACUGCCCACAAAGGAAGAAUAACUUGUCUUCCAAUAAGGGCAUGACUCCUGUCAGUGCGAAUAGCAUCUAACAGAUUGAUGUAUUCGGUUGCACGAAGUUGAGCUUGAUGCGCUGAGAUGUAAUGCAGCCUUUCAGAUUCCACCUUGGCAUAAAUGUCGACCAGAAUUUGAUGGGUCAAAUCUCCAAAAGCCAGUAACCAAUUUGUUAUGCCAGGAUUACGGCUACGAAUCAUUAGCAGUGAAGUAUAAAAAUCCAUGCAAGAAACCGUCUUGUGCGCCGAAGGAACCCCAUUAAUCAGCUGAGGGAUAUGGAAAUGAUAACCAUCUUGACCAUUCCAAAAAACCAAUGGGUAUUGCAGGGCGUCAUAAGACCUGUGAAACUCGUUAAUCCUCUGCACACCACUGCCUCUUUUGGAAAGAACAAUGUCACGUCUGUCACAGUUUUCCUGCACAAUAACAAUGGCAACCUCAUUAAUGGUUGGAGCAUUGAAUGUGCGAGGAUGGUGUCCAGGCGGUGCUUUGUCAGCCUUAAUGACCAACUUGUAAUCAGGAGAAGGCAUUUUUUCAAUGGAAGCUUUGAACAAAUGGACAUAAGGAUUAUGUUGAUGCAACAUAUCUUGCAAAAUGCUAACAAUGUGGGGCUUAGUGAUGGGAAAGUUUCUAUGGCGGGUGGCAACCUCUGCACUACUAUCUCCGAUGAAGAAAACCUGAAGGAAUGCUGGCUGUAGUUGGCGGCUAUCAGAGUUGAGUGGUGGCAAAACAGAGCCAAUUCUAUGAUAGACCUGGCCUUGGACCUUAAACGUUGGCAUGUAACCUGGCAACACAACACGACUACCACACCCAAAAGAUGUCAUUUGGAAGGCAUUGUUAUAGUGACGGAUAUGUCGCAUGAACUCAGCCGAGUGAGGAGAAGACCCAUCGAGCAGAGUUCUGAGAGCUUCUGGGGGUUCAGGUAAAUCGGGAAUUCUGACCUUACCUGCAGAACAGCACAUUCCAGGCCGCUCACCAUUGUACUUAAAGGCAGUACAAUGUUGACAUUGUUUAUCCAUAUGGCCAAUCUGAAGAAAAGUAAAUUGUUCAUAAUUCAGGGCCAGAUUGUAAUGGAAAGCAGCAUUGAGCAUAUCAGCCCAAGUGCUAGCUCGUUGCCUGAAAUACCGCAACUGGUAAGCCUCCUGUCGUGUUUGGGACUGCUGGGGAGUCUCUGAUGCGCGUUGAACUCUGUGGUGCAGCCGGUCACUUUGGAGACGGGCUUGAGACUGUUGGGAAUUCUCUGAUGCGCGUUGAACUCUGUGGCGCAGCCGGUCACUUUGGAGGCGGGCUUGAGACUGUUGGGGAAUCUCUGAUGCGUGUUGAACUCUGUGGCGCAGCCGGUCACUUUGGAGGCGGGCUUGAGACUGUUGGGGAUUCUCCAAUGUGCGGCUACUUUGGCCUCUAGCAGCUCGGGCAGCCAUGCGUCGAGCUGCAGGUGUACUUAUUCCAAUUGCAGAUCUUUUGCGAGGCAUAUCAAAUGGGAUGAUUCAAUUUGAAAAUAUGUCCUAAAAAAACAGAAAUAGCACAAUCAGUACAAAAAAAAGCUUAUAAGGAAAACAGUGCAGACCCAAAACAUAUGAUUUUUUUAAAAGAAUAACAAAACAAAGGCCAUUACAACAAUUAAAAAACAUAAGCCCAUUGUGUAUAUACAGUAAUAAAAGUUUGUAAAUAUUGUCAAAUCUGCAUUGGUUACUAACCGUAACUUUGUAAAAUGUAGUGCCCUAUCAACAUGUCAGAAAAAAAAUAAUAAUACUAAAAAAAACUAAUGCCAAAAUAGCCAUGUUAAUAUUUCAGGCUGAUAAAAACCAAAGGGUAUAUGGAUUAUAGACAAACACAUGUUUUGGCUGUUAAAUGAGACAGUAAUUCAUAGUAAAUUUUCACUACUGUAUUUUCUGCAUAUUGACUAUUGUUUGUUUAAUUUUAAGAAUUAUCAUAUUGACUGUAAAAAAAAAACAAAGGCCAGAACAAAAAUUAAUAAAUGUAAUGUUUUUUUUUAAUUGCAUUGUGUGAACGUACCUUAACUUAGCAAUAUAAAUUUUAGACAAACACAUGUUUUGGCUGUUAAAUGAGACAGUAAAUCAUAUUAAAUUUUCACUACUGUAUUUUUGCUUAUUGACUAUUGUUUGUUUAGUUUUAAGAAUUAUCAUAUUGACUGUAAAAAAAAAAAAAAAACAAAGGCCAGAACAAAAAUUAAUAAAAAAAAGUAAGAAAGGCAUUGUUUACAUACAGUAAAGCUAAUUCUGUAAUGUUUUUUUUUUUAAUUGCAUUGUGUGAACGUUUUUUAACUUAGCAAUAUAAAUUUUAGACAAACACAUGUUUUGGCUGUUAAAUGAGACAGUAAAUCAUAUUAAAUGUUCACUACUGUAUUUUUUGCUUAUUGACUAUUGUUUGUUUAAUUUUAAGAAUUAUAUCAUAUUGACUGUAAAAAAACACAAAGGCCAGAACAAAAAUGAAUAAAAAAUAAGAAAGCCAUUGUUUACAUACAGUAACGCUAAUUUUGUAAAGUUUUUUUUUUUAAUUGUGUGAAACUUACCUUAACUUAGUAAUAUAAAUUUCUCUCUGAAAAGAAAUGCAGAACGCUCAUUGGUCGCUUAAUUGGCCUCGUGUUGUUACUUUCCGUCGUAUUUACUCCGCGUAAAAAAAAGUUCUUCAAAUGAAAAAAAGAAAUAGCCAAAAAUACUAAGCAAAUUGUAUCCAAAAAUUUUCCUCAGGUUUAUAAAAAGCGACAUGCAAAAUUUGGUACCAAUUGGUUCAGUAGUUUUUGAGUUUAUCGCGAAACAGACAGACAGACAGGAAUUGACUUUUAUAUAUAUAGAGAUUAUGAAAAUUAAUCCCUUCACUUUUAUCUGUAUAAUGUAAUUUAAUUGAAAUAUAAGCAUCUAUAAUAAUUUGUCACAUAUAUUUUUACAUAUAGUUGCUCUAGACAUUUUACUCUCUUAUUUAUUCAAACAUUUGAAAAUGAGAAACACAAGUUCAAGAUUGUUAUAAUCCUUGUCAUAAUUGUGAACAUUCACCACUAGCCUCCUCAUAUAAUGUUCUAGAUCAAUAAAAUAGAAAAUAUGCUAAAUGUAUUCACAUUGUAUUUACCAUAACCUUUUAUCGUUGGCUCCAAUUUAUACACAACAUAAAUUAUUAACAACAAAAUUCGCAUAUCCCCCCACUUUACCUUCACUUCAUUAAACUCUACUUCUUCACACUUUAGCUUCACUUCCUCAAACUCUAGCUUCAGCUACACUUCUUUAUACUUUAGCUUCACUUCUCUAGACUUUAGCUUCUUUAUACUCUAGCUUCUUUAUACUUUAGCUUCACUUCUCUAGACUUUAGCUUCUUUAUACUCUAGCUUCUUUAUACUUUAGCUUCACUUCUCUAGACUUUAGCUUCUUUAUACUCUAGCUUCUUUAUACUUUAGCUUCACUUCUCUAGACUUUAGCUUCUUUAUACUCUAGCUUCUUUAUACUUUAGCUUCACUUCUCUAGACUUUAGCUUCUUUAUACUCUAGCUUCUUUAUACUUUAGCUUCACUUCUCUAGACUUUAGCUUCUUUAUACUCUAGCUUCUUUAUACUUUAGCUUCACUUCUCUAGACUUUAGCUUCUUUAUACUUUAGCUUCACUUCUCUAGACUUCACUUCUUUAUACUUUAGCUUCACUUCCUCAAACUCUAGCUUCAGCUACACUUCUUUAUACUUUAGAGUUUAUCUUCUUUAUACAUUAGACUUUAUCUUCUUUAUACUUUAGACUUUAUCUUCUUUAUACUUUAGACUUUAUCUUCAGGCUUCUUAUAAACCUCUCUUGCCUUUUCACUUGAGCUCGAGCUCCUUGAUUCCCUCUCCUAAUCUGCAGACUCUCACUCUUCCCGCGCGCCUGUCUCAUACCUUUUUCGCCGGCUUUUAUAGUCGUAUAAGGUCACGUGGACGGACUCUGUGGCGCACUCUGUGGCGCAUCCCUUGGCGCGCGCCAUCUAGAGCCGUCUUCCUGAAUCAUUUCCAACAAUGAUUUAGACGUAGGAUUAAUAAAUACUUUACCCAUCACUUUUAGAUUAACAACUGAUACGCUAAUCGUACAGAAGCCUUACAGAACAUCUUAUGCAAAUAAUACGGAAAUUAAUAGACAAAUUCACGAAUUAUUAUAAUAUAAUAUUAUAAGACCAUCUUGCAGCGCAUAUGUAUCACCCAUAUUAUUAGUACAAAAGAAAUCUUAUAUCACAGGACGUCCUCUUAGACUGUAUAGAUUUUCGAAAGCUAAAUCUAAUUACUAAAACUGAAAAUGCUCCUAUACCACUAAUAGAAGAAAUUUUAGAUAGAUUGGGAAAUGCUAAAAUUUUCACCUCUCUUGAUAUAAAACAUGCCUAUUGGCACAUUCCCAUAGCGGAAACGCACAAAGACAAAACAGCAUUUGUUUGUCAACAAGGGUGCUAUGAAUGGAAUAGGAUGCCAUAUGGACAAAAAAAUGGACCAAGUAUUUUUAAUAGGGUUAUACAAAAUAUUUUACAAAAAUUUGAUAUCCACUAUGCUUUAAAUUAUUUUGACAUCAUAGUAUUUUCUAAAGAUUUCCAGGAACAUUUACAACACUUAGAUCAUAUUUUAAAUGCGCUAAAAAAAGAAAAUAUCAAAUUCAAUUUUAAUAAAUGCCAGAUUUUUCUAAAUGAAAUACAUUUUAUAGAAUAUACAAUUAAAAAUGGCACAUAUACGCCAAGUAAUGCAAAUAUUGAGGCCAUUAAAAAAUUGCAAAGACCGUAUAAUAUGAAAACAUUACAAUCUUUUUUAGGGUAUAUAAAUGUCUACCAUAAGUUCAUACCUCAUUAUGCAAAAAUCAGAGCACCACUUAACACCCUUUUACAGAAAAAUUCACCAUGGCAAUGGAAUCAAGAUCAGGAACAAUCAUUUCAGACUUUAAAAAAUGCAUUGAUGACAAACCCAUUUUACAGCUAUAUGAUCCGCAAAAACCCCUGCAUAUAUUUACAGAUUAAUCUUUGUUUGGCGUAGGAGCAAUACUUAAACAACCAGAUAAGCAAGGAAUUUUACACCCAGUAGCCUAUUUCUCUAGAAAGUUACACAAAUAUGAGCGGAAUUAUGCAGCAACCCAAUUAGACAUUAGAUAUAAUCGCAGCAACCCAAAGAUUUCACCCAUAUAUUCAUAAUAUACACUUCACUUUACAUACAGAUCAUAUGCCGUUAAAAUGGCUUAAAACUUUUAAAAACCCUUCAGGUAGAAU
Molecule: non-coding RNA, 10863 nt
Filed under: Cordylochernes scorpioides
Lineage: Eukaryota; Metazoa; Arthropoda; Arachnida; Pseudoscorpiones; Chernetidae
Source: RNAcentral